AACAAAAAAAAUAAAAAAAAUCAUAAAAACAAAAAGCGGAAGGAAAAUGAAAAAGAACGUGUUGGGGAAAGGAGGACAAGUUUGUUAGCAAAGAAUAUUUUUGGGGAUCAGAGAUGGGGAGCUGGAGGGUGAGCUGGCAAGGGGAAGAAAGGCAGAAUUGAGGGUUUGGGGUUUUUGAAAAAAAGAAAACGGUAGAAAAGGCGACAAAGGAGAGAAAAAAAAAGGAGGGGUUUUAGAGGAUCGGGACAAAGAAAGAGACGGGAAGAUUAGACUUGGCAGCAAGGAAGAUCAUCAGAAAACUACACACAAAGCUUUACCGGAGGUGAACAAUUAACGGCGAAGGUAAACUGCUAAUUCAUUAUGGAUGCAUGAUAUACAAACUUCUAAUGUUUGACAAUGCAUAUUAUUAUGAUUUCCUAUGAUCUAUUCGAGAACAUCAUGAUAUAUGUAUCAUCUUCUUUCUCCAUUUUCGCUGGUUAUAAUCACUGGUCACUAGACACUAACAUCACUCAGACUACACAUUCACCAUGUACAUCCAACCUUUCUCCCUGAAACAUCAAUCUCUAAAGCUACAGAACAGUCACCCAUAUACAUUCUAUUCCUGUUUACAUUAUACCCUUCUUCUCACACGAACCCCAAACCCACCUAUAACCCAAAACAGAGUCCCAUGAGUAUCAAGAACCUGAAACGCAGAAAAACUCAGAGGAGCAAAAACCCAAUCUUUUGUUUUUUUCCUCCUUUGUAGAACCAUCAUCUUUUUCAAUCGAACCAGAAGAGGGAAAACAGCACAAAACAGAUUAUAACCCUCACACCCUGGACUACUUAAGUUGCAAAUCCUUUAGAAAAAAUCCCAAUCCUUAGUAUAGGUGUUCUGUAAUGGUACCCAUCUCUCGG
This 894-nucleotide long non-coding RNA is filed under the name Vigna radiata. Its description in RNAcentral is "long non-coding RNA (VRAD_LNC013525)". The record is from RNAcentral. Lineage: Eukaryota; Viridiplantae; Streptophyta; Magnoliopsida; Fabales; Fabaceae.